Molecule: long non-coding RNA, 1347 nt
Filed under: Takifugu rubripes (torafugu)
Lineage: Eukaryota; Metazoa; Chordata; Actinopteri; Tetraodontiformes; Tetraodontidae
Description: lncRNA (ENSTRUG00000029403.1)
Source: RNAcentral
AAAGCACCUCCUUGGAAACUAAAAUAAACCAGCCGGACAACGCAAAUGAGUCUGAAAUGGGAGAAGAAGCGGGACAGGGGGAGGUGAGAGAUCAAAUGAUUGCAAAUGUGCAGGAGGAAUGGGAAACUGAAAAUGAUGAGCAAGUAGGGGAAGAUCUAAAGCAAGAGAUGGUUGUGGAGGUGCACCAUCAAUGGGGCAAGGUAAAGGGAAGGGGGACAGAAGAGUCUCAAGGGUCAGAGGAGGAAUUACUGGAGGAGACAGAAGAAGAAGAGAGUAAUGAAGAGACUGAUGAGAGGGAAGCUGUUGAAGAGACAGAGAUGGAAGGAGAUGCUUUUACUGAGGCCACAGAAGAAGGUGAUGAGGUAGAGGAAAGGUUGAUAGGGGGUACAGAAGACAUAAGUGAGAAAGAUGAGAUACAAACUGAAGGUGAAGACAUAAGCGACAGCGGAGAAGAACCUGUUGUGUUCACGGGGAAAGAAGUGGUGGACAAUGAUAAUGACCAGCAGGGUGAGGAGAAGGUUAUUGAAGAGAAGAGAGAGGAGGCUGAAGGGGAAAACAAGAAGGAGGAUGAAGUGGUAGAAGAGGGUGGACAAGAAAGUGCUGGGGACAAUUACAGUAUGACUACAUGCCAGGGAGAGGAUGAACAAGAAUCAGAUCAAAGUAUAGAACAGGAAGGGAGGUAUGAGGACCGCAAAGAGGUAGAUGAGGAAGGAUUAGAUGAAGACAGAGAAUCAGAAGUUGGGUUAGAGGAAGCCAAUGUUCCCAAUGAAGCUGCAGAGGAUCUUGAUAUGAAAAUUAACGAAAGAGCAAAUUCAGACUCUAAAUUCGAACAAAUGGCUACUGAAUUUCCAGUCAAAUAUUCCUCUGAGGAGCAUUGCGAGGACGAUAAAGGUAAUGGUGCAGACACCAUGACAGAUGAUGGAGAGGAGCACUGCGACGACAGAAGCAACAAUCUACCACAUCCGGUGGAAAUAUCACAGGAAUUGCUGGACUUUGUCAACUCUGCCCUACAGUCCUCAUCCCUUAUAUUCACCUAUGAUGCGCAAGGGAAUGUCUGGCUGGAGCCAGACAACUGUCGAGUUGUAAAAACUAAACAAGCUCUCAUACCGAAAAGAAGUAAGGAUAGUCAGUAUGGUCUAAAAAUCCUGCCAAGCCCAAGCACCUCUGACCUGUCUGAUUACAGGCCAGAAACGUCGGAAAGUUGGCGAUCUAAUCCCCAGGAAUCUACAGAUAUGGCCACAGACAGUGGAGAAGAUACUUUGGAGAGGUCUGUCAUUAGCAAAAACAAAGGAGAAACCCAUCGUCAGAAGACUAACGCAGAGCCAGCGAACACUGGGAGUAGUGCAG